UUGCGCAGACACUUUCAAUUACUAUGUAAAAACAGUUUAGCAAACACAGGUUGCUUCAGAAAAUCCCUUGUGUAUUGCUUAAAGUGGCAAGUUCAAUAUAUAGCAUUAUCAUGCAAAGUUUCAAAUGUUUUCGGCAUAUGUUCACUGAGUGCUUUUGGUACUCAGCCCUGCAUAUCUUUCUAAAUGUGCUGGUUAAGUUGGGAUGA
This 206-nucleotide long non-coding RNA is filed under the name Salvia miltiorrhiza (redroot sage). RNAcentral describes it as "long non-coding RNA (SMIL_LNC009954)". The record is from RNAcentral. Lineage: Eukaryota; Viridiplantae; Streptophyta; Magnoliopsida; Lamiales; Lamiaceae.